This 433-nucleotide ribosomal RNA is filed under the name uncultured bacterium. Its description in RNAcentral is "partial 16S ribosomal RNA". It matches the Rfam family "Bacterial small subunit ribosomal RNA", at positions 29 to 507 of the family's 1533-position model. The record is from RNAcentral.
AACGAACGCUGGCGGCAGGCCUAACACAUGCAAGUCGAGCGCGCCCUUCGGGGUUAGCGGCGGACGGGUGAGUAACGCGUGGGAACGUGCCCUUUUCUACGGAAUAGCCUCGGGAAACUGAGCGUAAUACCGUAUACGCCCUUUGGGGGAAAGAUUUAUCGGAAAAGGAUCGGCCCGCGUUGGAUUAGGUAGUUGGUAGGGUAAUGGCCUACCAAGCCGACGAUCCAUAGCUGGUUUGAGAGGAUGAUCAGCCACACUGGGACUGAGACACGGCCCAGACUCCUACGGGAGGCAGCAGUGGGGAAUCUUAGACAAUGGGGGCAACCCUGAUCUAGCCAUGCCGCGUGAGUGAUGAAGGCCUUAGGGUUGUAAAGCUCUUUCAGCUGGGAAGAUAAUGACGGUACCAGCAGAAGAAGCUCCGGCUAACUCCGUG